UGGGUGGAUUAGUGGCGAACGGGUGAGUAACACGUGAGCAACCUGCCCCUGACUCUGGGAUAAGCGCUGGAAACGGCGUCUAAUACUGGAUACGAACAAGAAUCGCAUGGUUACUUGUUGGAAAGAUUUUUUGGUUGGGGAUGGGCUCGCGGCCUAUCAGCUUGUUGGUGAGGUAAUGGCUCACCAAGGCGUCGACGGGUAGCCGGCCUGAGAGGGUGACCGGCCACACUGGGACUGAGACACGGCCCAGACUCCUACGGGAGGCAGCAGUGGGGAAUAUUGCACAAUGGGCGGAAGCCUGAUGCAGCAACGCCGCGUGAGGGAUGACGGCCUUCGGGUUGUAAACCUCUUUUAGCAGGGAAGAAGCGAGAGUGACGGUACCUGCAAAAAAAGCGCCGGCUAACUACGUGCCAGCAGCCGCGGUAAUACGUAGGGCGCAAGCGUUAUCCGGAAUUAUUGGGCGUAAAGAGCUCGUAGGCGGUUUGUCGCGUCUGCUGUGAAAUCCCGAGGCUCAACCUCGGGCCUGCAGUGGGUACGGGCAGACUAGAGUGCGGUAGGGGAGAUUGGAAUUCCUGGUGUAGCGGUGGAAUGCGCAGAUAUCAGGAGGAACACCGAUGGCGAAGGCAGAUCUCUGGGCCGUAACUGACGCUGAGGAGCGAAAGGGUGGGGAGCAAACAGGCUUAGAUACCCUGGUAGUCCACCCCGUAAACGUUGGGAACUAGUUGUGGGGUCCAUUCCACGGAUUCCGUGACGCAGCUAACGCAUUAAGUUCCCCGCCUGGGGAGUACGGCCGCAAGGCUAAAACUCAAAGGAAUUGACGGGGACCCGCACAAGCGGCGGAGCAUGCGGAUUAAUUUCGAUGCAACGCGAAGAAUCCUUACCAAGGCUUGACAUACACCAGACACCCUGGCAACAGGGGACUCUUUGGACACU
This 933-nucleotide ribosomal RNA is filed under the name Microbacterium hydrocarbonoxydans. RNAcentral's name for it is "bacterial SSU rRNA". It matches the Rfam family "Bacterial small subunit ribosomal RNA", at positions 84 to 1027 of the family's 1533-position model. The record is from RNAcentral. Lineage: Bacteria; Bacillati; Actinomycetota; Actinomycetes; Micrococcales; Microbacteriaceae.